GAUGAACGCUGGCGGCGUGCUUAACACAUGCAAGUCGAACGGUGAAGCGCCUUCCUUUUUGGUGGGUGUGGAUGAGUGGCGAACGGGUGAGUAACACGUGAGUAACCUGCCCCCUUCUUCUGGAUAACCGCAUGAAAGUGUGGCUAAUACGGGAUAUUCUGGGUCUGUCGCAUGAUGGGUCUGGGAAAGAUAUUGUUUCGGUGGGGGAUGGGCUCGCGGCCUAUCAGCUUGUUGGUGGGGUGAUGGCCUACCAAGGCGGUGACGGGUAGCCGGCCUGAGAGGGUGGACGGUCACACUGGGACUGAGACACGGCCCAGACUCCGACGGGAGGCAGCAGUGGGGAAUAUUGCACAAUGGGCGCAAGCCUGAUGCAGCGACGCCGCGUGAGGGAUGGAGGCCUUCGGGUUGUGAACCUCUUUCGCCAGUGAAGCAGGCCUGCCUCGUUUGUGGGUGGGUUGACGGUAGCUGGAUAAGAAGCGCCGGCUAACUACGUG
RNAcentral lists this ribosomal RNA (494 nucleotides) under uncultured bacterium. Its description in RNAcentral is "partial 16S ribosomal RNA". It matches the Rfam family "Bacterial small subunit ribosomal RNA", at positions 28 to 507 of the family's 1533-position model. The record is from RNAcentral.